Oncorhynchus tshawytscha (Chinook salmon) is the source of this 341-nucleotide long non-coding RNA. The record is from Ensembl. Lineage: Eukaryota; Metazoa; Chordata; Actinopteri; Salmoniformes; Salmonidae.
GAGAGAAUGUGAGACAGACAGACAGACAGGUCUACCAAGAGGAGAGAAUGUGAGACAGACAGACAGGUCUACCAAGAGGAGAGAGUGUGAGACAGACAGACAGGUCUACCAAGAGGAGAGAGUGUGAGACAGACAGACAGGUCUACCAAGAGGAGAGAGUGUGAGACAGACAGGUGUAGUUGGAUGGUAGGACCAAGGGAAUAGAAGAACCAAGGGAUAUCAAAGGUUCCAGUGCGGUAUGCAGAUGGUCGGGUGGGACUGGGGAAAUUGCUCACCCUUUGAAAUGGCCGCUAAUCUGGAAUCACCUGAGAGUUUCCUGACCUGUUUGAUUGUAUUGAGCC